Molecule: long non-coding RNA, 734 nt
Organism: Harmonia axyridis
Lineage: Eukaryota; Metazoa; Arthropoda; Insecta; Coleoptera; Coccinellidae
Exons: 2
Source: RefSeq, a predicted model, not a curated record
UUAUUGUUCUCUAUGUGAAAAUAUCAUUCAGCAGUUCCAUUCCAUCGAUGCCAACAUGUGUUAGAAAGAAAGUUCUUAUCGCAUAUUUCCAUCAAAAUAUUGUUUUCAUUGUCAACCUAAUUCAUAAAUAUAAAAGAACGUUCAAUUAAUUUGUAACAAACUGCUAACUGGCCACUAUAACAAAAUGGAGGAGCCUAUUGAUCAUGAGUCCGAAUCAUCAGAAGAAUCAUCAAGCAGUUCAACCUCGAGUUCAACAGAUAGUGACAUCUCUCGAAUAAGUAAAGAACAGGAAGAUUGGUCCUACUCCUUGUUCUCAGACAUUUUACUCACCCUUCAUCUUGGGGCAGCAGCAGUAUUUCUGGUUCAUACCAUCAAAAAUAUAAUAGUAGAAUUAUAUAUUCCAACUGCAAAUUCAUUUGGAUCACGUGGUGCUAUGGGAGUAGCGUUUGUGAAGUUUUGCCAUACCGUAUAUUCCAUUUUUAUACGCACAGAAAUUUUUGGCAGUAUUAUUAUAAUACUUGCAAGCCUUUAUAUUGGCAGAGAAUUAGGAAAUUUUCGAGUAUUGAGAAUUUUAUUGAGGCAAAUAGCAUAUUUGCUCACAAGAUUUAUUUUUUACUUAGUUAUCUUCCUUCAUUACUAUUGUAUUAGAAUAUAUCUGGAAAAAGUUUGAAACGUAUAACUGUCAACUUAUUCCAAUGAAGAAUUCAUUAAAUAAAUCCAAUGAACUACAAAAA